CAUCCCUAAGUUUAACAACAAUUAAUUUCCUUUCUUUAUAGCAUCCAGCUAUAAGGCAACAUGAUGCACAGAGCUGGCUACAGUUCUACAUAGAAUAAACUGCAUGAAUGAAGAGAAUGUGGUUUUUCCCCCUGCCCCAGCUGACACCAAGGAAGAGAAUGUAACAAUUUGUAUGGAAUUGCUUUGGACUGAUGUACAAAGAAUAAUAUUAUGUUUCAUAAUUAUGUUCCAAAUGAUAAAGGAUUUUUCCUGCCAGAACCUCUCUGUAUGUGCCCCAGCAUCAUCAACUGAUGGCAGCACAGCUCUGGGAAUAAACAGACUUUCAGCUAAUGGCAGGAAUUGUCAGGGGAAACAGCAAACAGGUAUUUCUUCCUGAUAUAGAAUGAAACAUAUGAUUAAAGUUAAAUGCCAAAUCCUA
Molecule: long non-coding RNA, 418 nt
Organism: Empidonax traillii (willow flycatcher)
Lineage: Eukaryota; Metazoa; Chordata; Aves; Passeriformes; Tyrannidae
Exons: 2
Source: RefSeq, a predicted model, not a curated record